GAAAAAAAAGGGAUGCCCCUCCUCUAUGUGUCAUCCUUCCUUAUUUUUGUUUCUCUUUCUAUUUGAAUUUUAUUCAAACUAAGAUAGGGAUAAUGUCUAAAAGGAAAGGUGAUGGAUCAGAUUUUUGUGUGACAAAAAUUAAGAGAGAAGGGUGGGACACGUGCUAAUAAAAAUAGGGAGAAUUUCUUUCUUGCCGUGUAACAAUCCCAAUGCCUUCUUUCUUUCUUUCUUCACCCCAAUGCCUAAGAUCUGAUGGAGAUCAAAUCUAAUAGAGAAAAAAAGAGAGA
This 287-nucleotide long non-coding RNA is filed under the name Elaeis guineensis (African oil palm). Its description in RNAcentral is "long non-coding RNA (EGUI_LNC041203)". Lineage: Eukaryota; Viridiplantae; Streptophyta; Magnoliopsida; Arecales; Arecaceae. The record is from RNAcentral.